UUGGAUUGAGACAACGUACAAACCUUAUCGAUAAACAAUUGGAGGGCAAGUCUGGUGCCAGCAGCCGCGGUAAUUCCAGCUCCAAUAGCGUAUAUUAACGUUGUUGCAGUUAAAAAGCUCGUAGUUGAAAUGAAGGGUAGUUGUGUAAUGGAUACAUUCGUGUAUUUUGUUAUUCUACUACCCUCCUUCUAAAUUCGAUAUAUGAGUAUUAAUUUACUUGUAUAUGGUUUUAGACUUUUACUGUGAGAAAAUUAGAGUGUUCAAAGCAGGCAUUUGCUUGAAUAUAUUAGCAUGGAAUAAUCAUGUAUGAUUUUCAUGAUGUAUUUGAUUGGUUUGGUUCAUGAGAAUAAGAUUAAAAGGGACAGUUGGGGGUAUUCAUAUUCAAUAGUCAGAGGUGAAAUUCUCGGAUUUAUGGAAGAUGAACAAGUGCGAAAGCAUUUACCAAGGAUGUUUUCAUUAAUCAAGAACGAAAGUUAGGGGAUCGAAGAGGAU
This 492-nucleotide ribosomal RNA is filed under the name Blastocystis sp. subtype 3. RNAcentral describes it as "SSU rRNA". It matches the Rfam family "Eukaryotic small subunit ribosomal RNA", at positions 509 to 1008 of the family's 1831-position model. Lineage: Eukaryota; Bigyra; Opalinata; Blastocystidae. The record is from RNAcentral.